AAUAGUAAAUGCUACAAGUAACUACUGUAUUUAAAGAUAUAAUUUCGAGUUUGUAGUUGAUUGAGGGAAGCAGAAGUCAAUUUAACUUUGAAAUUCUGGCCCUUUUGCAAAACCAGGACAUGGGUUUCCACAAUUUCUUGCUUUUGUAAAUUACAUAUAUUUGUUUAAAUUUAAUUCAAUUCUCAACAGCAAAAUUAACUAUAACUUGACCCCAUUAUUUCUUGUGUUCCUCUAACUUAAGUAGAGCACAUACAGUACUAAGUAAUAAAUGGGCAAGGGCCAUUAGUAGGGGUGUACACGGUUUCGUAAAACCGACCAAACCAACCCGAACCGAUCACUUUUCGACCGAACCAACCCGAAUUUUUUUAACCCGAUAUGUAUUUGGUUUAAAAAAAUAUAAACCCGAUUUAAUUGGGUUGGUUACGGGUUUGAAUAUUUUUAGGCCGAACCAAACCAACCCGAAUAAAAAAUAAAAUAUUUCAAAUAUUAUAUAUAUAUAUAUGCAUAGCCCAGCACCCCGAAUAUAUUUUAAAUAUAUUAUGUUGUCUAAAUUAGUGAUUAGUGUUACAAAUAUAUGAUUAUUGUUCACCAAAUGGUAUAUCUUCUGCAAUGUUUCGGAAGGUAAAGUUUCUUAACCUACCCCAGAAAAUUUAUUAUAAAAUAUUUAAGUUACAUGUUACAGUUUUACCAGAGUAGUCUGAUGUGAUUAUACCGGUGCGCAUAGGGGAGUAAAGAGUUGAGCAUCAGUUUAUAAUAUUUAUUAACUCAACCAAACCAAUCCAAACCGAACCAAACCGAACCAAACCGAUGUACUACAAAUUGGUUUGGGUUACAAAUUUAUACGGUCUGGGUUGGGUUGAAAUUUUGAAAACCCGACUUAAUUGGUUUGGGUCGAUAAAUUCCGUCAACCCGCCCAACCCGAACCGUGUACACCCCUAGCCAUUAGUCAAAUUUUGAGCCUCUGGGGACUCCCAUGCAUAAGAAGAUUGCAAAUUCCCAAACGUGGCCCUCGUUU
This 1015-nucleotide long non-coding RNA is filed under the name Daucus carota (carrot). Its description in RNAcentral is "long non-coding RNA (DCAR_LNC005775)". Lineage: Eukaryota; Viridiplantae; Streptophyta; Magnoliopsida; Apiales; Apiaceae. The record is from RNAcentral.